UAGAGUGCGGAAGGGGCAACUGGAAUUCUUGGUGUAGCGGUGAAAUGCGUAGAUAUCAAGAGGAACACCUGCGGCGAAGGCGGGUUGCUGGGCCGACACUGACGCUGAGGCGCGAAAAGCCAGGGGAGCGAACGGGAUUAGAUACCCCGGUAGUCCUGGCCUUAAACGAUGAAUGCUUGGUGUCCGGGGUUAGAUAGUCCUCGGGUGCCGUCGCUAACGCUUUAAGCAUUCCGCCUGGGGAGUACGUGCGCAAGCAUGAAACUCAAAGGAAUUGACGGGGACCCGCACAAGCGGUGGAGCAUGUGGUUUAAUUCGACGCAACGCGAAGAACCUUACCUAGUCUAGAAUGCUCCUGACAGCCCUAGAGAUAGGGUUUCUUGGGUAAAACCAAGCAGGAUGCAAGGUGCUGCAUGGCUG
This 417-nucleotide ribosomal RNA is filed under the name uncultured bacterium. RNAcentral describes it as "bacterial SSU rRNA". It matches the Rfam family "Bacterial small subunit ribosomal RNA", at positions 642 to 1051 of the family's 1533-position model. The record is from RNAcentral.